UACAGAGGGUGCGAGCGUUAAUCGGAAUUACUGGGCGUAAAGCGCACGUAGGUGGUUGUGUAUGUCGAGUGUGAAAGCCCCGGGCUCAACCUGGGAAUGGCGAUGGAUACUGGCGGGCUAGAGUGCGGUAGAGGAGAGUGGAAUUCCCGGUGUAGCAGUGAAAUGCGUAGAGAUCGGGAGGAACAUCAGUUGCGAAGGCGGCUCUCUGGACCAGCACUGACACUGAGGCACGAAAGCGUGGGGAGCAAACAGG
RNAcentral lists this ribosomal RNA (253 nucleotides) under uncultured bacterium. RNAcentral's name for it is "partial 16S ribosomal RNA". It matches the Rfam family "Bacterial small subunit ribosomal RNA", at positions 524 to 776 of the family's 1533-position model. The record is from RNAcentral.